CCAAUAGCGUAUAUUAAAGUUGUUGCAGUUAAAAAGCUCGUAGUUGAACUUCGGGGUUUACCCAUUGGUCAGGCUUAAUUGUCUGUACUGGUGAGAUAAAUCUCUACCUUCUGAGGAACUUUCAUGUCAUUAAUUUGGUGUGAUUGGAAAUCAGGACUGUUACUUUGAAAAAAUUAGAGUGUUUAAAGCAGGCUAACGUCUGAAUACAUUAGCAUGGAAUAAUGAAAUAGGACGGACUGAUUCUAUUUCGUUGGUUUCUAGGAUCACCGUAAUGAUUAAUAGGGAUAGUUGGGGGCAUUAGUAUUCAAUUGUCAGAGGUGAAAUUCUUGGAUUUAUUGAAGACUAACUACUGCGAAAGCAUUUGCCAAGGAUGUUUUCAUUAAUCAAGAACGAAAGUUAGGGGAUCGAAGACGAUCAGAUACCGUCGUAGUCUUAACCAUAAACUAUGCCGACUAGGGAUCGGACGAAGUUAAUUUUAUAAUGACGCGUUCGGCACCUUACGGGAAACUAAAGUGUUUGGGUC
This 523-nucleotide unclassified non-coding RNA is filed under the name uncultured Glomeromycotina. RNAcentral describes it as "SSU rRNA". It matches the Rfam family "Eukaryotic small subunit ribosomal RNA", at positions 591 to 1113 of the family's 1831-position model. The record is from RNAcentral. Lineage: Eukaryota; Fungi; Glomeromycota.